RNAcentral lists this ribosomal RNA (307 nucleotides) under uncultured Staphylococcus sp. Its description in RNAcentral is "bacterial LSU rRNA". It matches the Rfam family "Bacterial large subunit ribosomal RNA", at positions 2109 to 2411 of the family's 2925-position model. The record is from RNAcentral. Lineage: Bacteria; Bacillati; Bacillota; Bacilli; Caryophanales; Staphylococcaceae.
GUCCGUCUUUCGACCCCUGCUCGACUUGUAGGUCUCGCGUCGACAGCCUUUGAAACGUGAGCGCUAGCUUACGUGGAGGCGUUGGUGGGAUACUACCCUAGCUGUGUUGGCUUUCUAACCCGCACCACUUAUCGUGGUGGGAGACAGUGUCAGGCGGGCAGUUUGACUGGGGCGGUCGCCUCCUAAAAGGUAACGGAGGCGCUCAAAGGUUCCCUCAGAAUGGUUAGGAAAUCAUUCAUAGAGUAGUAAAGGCAGUAAGGGAGCUUGACUGCGAGACCUACAAGUCGAGCAGGGUCGAAAGACGGAC